Long non-coding RNA from Bombus pascuorum, 2333 nucleotides. RefSeq lists it as uncharacterized. Lineage: Eukaryota; Metazoa; Arthropoda; Insecta; Hymenoptera; Apidae. The record is from RefSeq and is a predicted model, not a curated record. The transcript has 4 exons.
UCAUAAAAUGCAGAGUAUGAAGAGUUAAAAUGCAGAUUUGUUUACUUGUACUAUUAAAACUAUAAGCAAAGCAUAGCAAUGUAGAAUAUACUAGAGAUAUAUUACAAUAUAUUAGAAAUACCUAAUGUAUAUUGGAAUAUAUUAUAUUGUUACACAUUGACUGUCCGAAUAUUUGCUUUGCUAAGUGGCUAUCUUUAUCCCCACCAACUUUUGUAGGGAAGCUUUCAUCCAGAACGCAGCUUCAAUGUUAUACGAGUUCUUUGUUAUUUUAUUACACUGUCAAAGGAUUCGAUACACAAUUUGCAUUUUGUUACUUGUUUUCGACAUUCUUAAUGGCAACUAGGAAUUAUAAUGAACAGAAUGGCGAAUCGUGGAGUUGGACGAUCGGAACGAUGAUUUUCUGGUCGGUCGGUAAGGAGGUAGAAAAAACGCGACCGCAAAUCUUGAUGAUCCGCAGAAACGCAAGGAACUGAACCGUCUCGUGACAAAUACUUAACCACGAUUCAAUUGGUAUAACUAUUAACAUAACCGCAAAAGGAGAUAAAAGAAACAUGAUAGAAAAUACUUUCACGGUGUUAAUGGAAUUUAUAUAAACGUCGACUACGGUAAAAGUUGUAGGUAAAAGAUGACGAAAGAAAAAAUGAGAAAAAAGAUACAAAAAGAAAAAUAAAAAAUAUUUUUAAGAAGGCAAAAUGUGAAAAAUGGCGGGGAUUUUAAAUCGGCACACGUUGGAACAUAGGAUAUACUAAAGUGACAAUAGAUAAAAUAUGGUAGGAUAAUACCUAGACAUAGAGUGAAAAGAAUUAAUUUCCAAUUUCGGCAACGUAAGCAGUUUACACGCUUUUGUUUGUCGUAUACGAUUUGUGAAUACAAAAUUAUCUUAUCGUGGUCUCCUUUUGGUGUUUAGCAAACCUAGCUUACGUGGUUCGCAUUUUCAUAUCACAGAAUCGUAGCUAAACGUAACGUUCACGUAACGUCUUCGUUUUUACGUAAGGAAGUCGAUUAUUCGAUUUCGAUUUCUUCGAUCUAGAUUUUUCAUGCAAUCUCUCUAUAAAUAUUAUUAUAUAUAAUUAUAAAAAAUAUAUAAUAUUGUUAAUAUCAAUAAGUAAUAACACAUUGCGAAUUAGUCGCGAAAAAUGAUUCUUAAUAUUAAUUUACAAUUUUUACAUUUUUAAAAUAUAGUGAAGAGAAUAUAAAGGUGACUAAUUAUCCUUAGCGUAUUCACUAGAUGAGAAAUUUUUAAAGGUUAAAUUUUCCAUUUAUUAUUCAUUCAUAAAUAAGAGGGGUAAUUAAUCAUCUUUGUAAACACAAGCGAUGAUCUCAGAAAUAUGCAAAAGAAUUUGUUAUUCUAACGAAAAAAUUAUCAUCGUCAUCACCGUCAUUACUGGUAUUGCGUGUGAAAAUAUUUAGAGUGCAACCAUAGUUAACGAACUAUAACACUCACGAAACGGAUGAUUUCUAAUAAAUACCUACGCUGACUGAACUUCCACUAUAAAUCUUUCACUCGAAUUUUCCAAACAGAUUUCGCCGUUCGUCUUUUCAAUUUGCGAUUUAAUUACUACUUAAUGUAUUUUUCUUUAAUCACAUUAAUUUGAUUUACUAUCUUUUUAAUUAUAAUAUCGAGGCAUAAAUUGUUUUUUGUUAAUUAACUCAUAACUAGUUUCCGUUUCAAAUAAUUUAAAAUUACAAAUAUCUCUAUUUCGAAUAAUUUGAUAUUAAAUCAAUUUUAUUUUCAGCAAUUUAUGAAAUACAUUAGAUUCAUUUUCAGAUUCAUAUUCUUCUUUUUCUAAUUGGUAUGCACUUCUACCAAUAUAUACUUAUGAUUUUGUCAAUUACAGGUAAAAUUGAAUUCCUCAUUCUGUUAUAUUUCAAACGCAAACCAAUAUUUGUUGUAUUUAACAAUCAAUUCAAAUAAUACAGUUUUGCGGAUAACAAUACGGUUUCCGAUUGUGCAUUGGCUAUUACACUAGCGUGAAGUUAUUCAAUUUAUCUGUAGAAAGGAUAUCAUAUCCAACAUGGUGAUUAAGAAAUUAAAAUCGAAGAGGAAAUUGAGAAUUGGAAUAUUAUAAUAAAAACUUUUUCAACGUUCAAAUAUUACUCCAUUGUUUACUACAUAAUCUUCUACACAAUUACAUUAUUAUUACUAAAGGCAGAUAAUAAGUCGUCUGAUGGAAGAACAGUUUUAUUAAAUAAAGGUUUAUUCAAUUUACUCUAUAAUCAUAGAGAAUUUCAAGUUCUGCUUUGCUUAACAAUGCUACAAUAUUGCAGAAGCGUCGUUGCAAUUAUCCGAAAAGUGGGGAAACACUCUUUGGUAUUGUUCCAAGCGUCUUCGU